RNAcentral lists this transfer-messenger RNA (357 nucleotides) under Thiomicrospira sp. It matches the Rfam family "transfer-messenger RNA". Rfam says of the family: Bacterial tmRNA, also known as 10Sa RNA or SsrA, is named for its dual tRNA and mRNA-like properties. Its role is to liberate the mRNA from a stalled ribosome. RNAcentral also lists the same sequence under 1 other name. Lineage: Bacteria; Pseudomonadati; Pseudomonadota; Gammaproteobacteria; Thiotrichales; Piscirickettsiaceae. The record is from RNAcentral.
GGGGCUGCAUUGGUUUCGACGGGGAGAAUGAAGUUUAAGAUGCAUGCCGUGCCUGAAUGAUGCACGUAAAUCUUAAUUCAAAUUGUUAUAGUUGCAAACGACGAUAACUACGCUCUAGCGGCUUAAGCCCGCUGGUGCGGCUCAGGGCAGUUGUUCGUGGCGCCUGAUGCCGUAUCGACUUACACGGAAUCGUAUUUACCGCGUGUUUGGGUAGGUAAAUACUAAACAGGACAAACUCGUCUUACGUGCUCCCUGACAGUCGGGAAACGUUAAGAUUAAACUAAUAGACUGUAUAAGCAUGUAGACUCUUGGAUGGAGUCUUUCCGGACGGCGGUUCGACCCCGCCCAGCUCCACCA